UAAAAAUCGUUUGCAUAAAUGGGGAUACUCAGAUAACUGGCACUUGGCGAACUUCCUGCAACUGCUACAGCCAGUAAAAAAAUAUGUGAAUUUCUGUUUUAGUGUAUUACAACUUAAAGCUGAAGUUUCCUCAAAAUGCAGAACGGAGAGCAGCAUGGGUAAGAGCUGUUCGAAGAGCAAACUGGAAGCCGACUAAAUUUUCACGAAUUUGUUCUGAACAUUUUUCUGAAGAUCAAAUAGACAGAACUUCAUUAUGCUGUGUAAGACUGAGAGAUUAUGCUGUGCCUAAUAUCUUCAAAGCUUUUCCACCUUACCUGCAAAAGUUGAUAAAAAAUCCACAAAAACCUCCCACAGAAAGUUUUAUUGAGUAUAAAAAUAAAGAGGAGCCUGUAUUAAGUGAAAUGCAAACUAAUGCAACUUCUGCUGAACCUUCUCCAUGCAAGCAAGAACUGAAACGAAAGCUGCACGAAGUUAAAGAAUUAAAUUGUGUCAACAGAAAGAAAAUUAAGUUAUUGCAACAAACUAUACGUAGACAGAAAAAGACUAUCUUCAAUCUGAAAACUUUAUUGAAAGAUUUACAAAAAAGCAGGAUAAUAAAUGAUGAUUAUCUGGACAAUUUUCAGAAAUCGAUUUCUGUUAAUGAAGAAAUCCUUUCGCUGGAAUUAACAAAUUGUCAAAAAAGACCAGUUAUCAAAUUAUUAUCGUAAAGAAAUAAAAGCUUUAACUCUUCACUUUUAUUCACCUAAAGCAUUGUAAAUAUGUUAGAAAAACGUUCAAAUCAUGUUUGCCACACACCAAGACUAGCAAACUGCUACAAAUCUAUAAGUGCUGCACCAGGCUUUACAACUGAAUCUUUGGAUACGUUAGAUAAUAAACUUCAUAUAAAUUGCUUUUUUCAUUGAUUAGUGAUGAAAUGGCCAUGCAUAAACAUGGUGAAUUUGAUGGUCAACUUUAUCACAGUUGCAUUAAUAGAGAUAUUCAGAAUGAUGAUGCUUCUGUUUCAUUAGCUAGAGAGACUAAGUUUAUGUUAUUGUACAUCAAUGGUAACUUUACAAUCCCACUCGGUUACUUUUUAAUUGAUGGUUAUGAUGUUACUUUUUAUUUGAUGGUUUCAGUAUUGAUCUAGAAUUGCUCUGAAAAUAAAUCAACUGCAGUAUUUACAAAAGUGAGUGUUACAUUAUGACAUUUUUAAACCACUGCAUACUGAUUUAUUUAAAUGCAAUUCAAAACACUGUUCAAAUAAUAAGCAAGAAUGUUUAUAAUAUGCCUGAAAAUAUGCAUGUGAAAAAUACUGCAAUGCAUUUUCAAGACUCACUUUUCAAAUUAUGUCACAAACAAGCUUAAUGGUGUUAUUAAAUUUUUCCUGCUUAGAUUUA
RNAcentral lists this unclassified non-coding RNA (1376 nucleotides) under Stegodyphus dumicola. RNAcentral describes it as "tHAP domain-containing protein 1-like, transcript variant X1". The record is from RNAcentral. Lineage: Eukaryota; Metazoa; Arthropoda; Arachnida; Araneae; Eresidae.